This 327-nucleotide ribosomal RNA is filed under the name uncultured eukaryote. RNAcentral's name for it is "partial 18S ribosomal RNA". It matches the Rfam family "Eukaryotic small subunit ribosomal RNA", at positions 1470 to 1796 of the family's 1831-position model. The record is from RNAcentral.
CCCUUAGAUGUUCUGGGCCGCACGCGCGCUACACUGAUUCAUGCAACAAGUUUUGUCCUUGGCUGAUAGGCCUGGGUAAUCUUUGAACGUGAAUCGUGAUGGGGAUAGAUGAUUGCAAUUAUUCAUCUUCAACGAGGAAUUCCUAGUAAACGCAAGUCAUCAGCUCGCAUUGAUUACGUCCCUGCCCUUUGUACACACCGCCCGUCGCACCUACCGAUUGAAUGGUCCGGUGAAAUCUUCGGAUCUGAGAGAUGUCUGAUUAAUUUCGGACGCCUUUUGGAAAAGUUGCUUAAACCUUACCAUUUAGAGGAAGGUGAAGUCGUAACA